Small nuclear RNA from Etheostoma spectabile (orangethroat darter), 157 nucleotides. RefSeq annotates it as U1 spliceosomal RNA. NCBI's taxonomy places the organism in Eukaryota, Metazoa, Chordata, Actinopteri, Perciformes, Percidae. The transcript has a single exon. The record is from RefSeq and is a predicted model, not a curated record.
AUACUUACCUGGCGGGGAGAUACCAUGACAGAAGGUGGUUUCACCCAGGCGAGGCUUAACCAUUGCCCUCCGGUUAUGCUGACCCUGCGAAUUCCCCAAUGCGGGAAUCUGACUGCAUAAUUUGUGUUAUGGGGGACUGUCGAUUCGCUCUCCCCCC